UUAUAAGAGACAGCAGUAGCCGCGGGAAAACGAAGGGGGCUAGCGUUGCUCGGAAUCACUGGGCGUAAAGGGUGCGUAGGCGGGUCUUUAAGUCAGAGGUGAAAUCCUGGAGCUCAACUCCAGAACUGCCUUUGAUACUGAGGAUCUUGAGUUCGGGAGAGGUGAGUGGAACUGCGAGUGUAGAGGUGAAAUUCGUAGAUAUUCGCAAGAACACCAGUGGCGAAGGCGGCUCACUGGCCCGAUACUGACGCUGAGGCACGAAAGCGUGGGGAGCAAACAGGAUUAGAUACCCCAGUAGUCCCUGUCUCUUAUAC
RNAcentral lists this ribosomal RNA (314 nucleotides) under uncultured bacterium. RNAcentral describes it as "partial 16S ribosomal RNA". It matches the Rfam family "Bacterial small subunit ribosomal RNA", at positions 499 to 807 of the family's 1533-position model. The record is from RNAcentral.